RNAcentral lists this long non-coding RNA (555 nucleotides) under Heterocephalus glaber (naked mole-rat). Its description in RNAcentral is "lncRNA (ENSHGLG00100042968.1)". The record is from RNAcentral. Lineage: Eukaryota; Metazoa; Chordata; Mammalia; Rodentia; Bathyergidae.
CUAGGUUAUCUGGAUGGGGCCAAUGUAAUCAAGAGGAACCUUAAAAGUGGAAGGAGACAGAAGAAGGAAGUCCGAGUGGGAUGUCAUUGCAGGAAAAAAUGAUCAGUGAGAUCCAACAUUCUUGUCUUUGAAGAUGGAGGGAGACAGCCAAGAACCAUGAAUGUGGGUGACCUCUAAAAACUGGGAAUGUAGUACAAGGCCACAGAAGAAUUGAAGUAGGAAUGAAUAUUUGACGAGCUGACCCAGUAAGAUCUUCUCGCCCCAGGUACCACUACCUUGGACUUUAUUUUCAAUUUUCUGCUUCAAUAGUUUUGGAAUGCACAACCAACAUUAACUUUAUUUUAAAUCCACAAAUGCAUGAAAGAGCUCAUUUAUGGUUACGAAUGCUCAGGGGAGAUAUUUUUUCAUCAUUUCAGAGCGAGAGUUUAGACAAGUUCUCUUUCUGUUUCUUUAUAUGUGACUGCUUUGUUUCACAUUCACUCUCAAGGUAAAAUUACUGUUUCCUGGGUGGAACAUAGACUUUCAGUUGUAAACUUCAUAUGCCGGGCCCUUGUC